UCCCUGGUGGUUCAGCAGGUUAAGGAUCCAACAUUUUAACUGCUGUGGUGCAGGUUUGAUACCUGACCUGGGAA
Molecule: transfer RNA, 74 nt
Filed under: Sus scrofa (pig)
Lineage: Eukaryota; Metazoa; Chordata; Mammalia; Artiodactyla; Suidae
Rfam family: tRNA
About the family: Transfer RNA (tRNA) molecules are approximately 80 nucleotides in length.
Source: Rfam by way of RNAcentral